GUAUCUUAUCUUGUUCAGUGUCAUUGUCCAUGUGUCAGUUGUUCAGUGCCAUGUGCUUUUGUUUAUGUUUUGUUCUGUAACCUGUGACCUGUUUGUGACCUGUAACCCCAUACUUACCUGUUGGUCAUGUGACCUUUCCUACCUGCCCAUGCAAUUCACCUGAGUGUAAAUCAGUUCUGGCAGACAGGUUGGAGGGAUUGACCAUAUGUAAAAGAUUCGCCUGCAGUUAUAUAUACUGGAUUAUCAGGAUUAUGUGGGAACCCUUGUCGCAUUGAUAGAGGUGUAAGAUUCUUCCAGCUAGUCUGAUGUCCACAAAUGGAAUAAUUAAAAGAAUGGAAACCAAGAACGUGUUUGUUGUAACGCCUCUGCCCAAAUCCCAUCCCUGUUUCACAAAGAUAUGAAAUACUGACCGGACAUGAUCUUCACACAUGUGUAAUUUUAAGUUUUGUUGGCUUUACGCCUUUUGGAACGGCUUGGCCCACGUGAUGGCAUUGCACUGCAUUUUACAACACACGGUGCACCAAUAUAUAAUUUAAAUGUUAGAGUGUGGCCAAUAACAGUAUUGCUCUUAAUCGAGAAAAUCCGGUCAUAUAUCUUUACAACAGACAUACCAGAGGUAAACCUAGGGAGACACAAUCGAUCGAUAGAGUGACGGAGGUAGCCUAGGGAGACACAAUCGAUAGAUAGAGUGACAGGUCAAUCUCAGCCUAGAGUUGUCGUUCCGUACACCGACUUUAUCUAAGCCAUGUUUUUAAAAAAUAAUAAAACUCAAUAAUCAA
This is a long non-coding RNA of Mizuhopecten yessoensis (Yesso scallop), 779 nucleotides long. RefSeq lists it as uncharacterized. The transcript is spliced from 3 exons. The record is from RefSeq and is a predicted model, not a curated record. Lineage: Eukaryota; Metazoa; Mollusca; Bivalvia; Pectinida; Pectinidae.